GAUGAACGCUGGCGGCGUGCCUAAUACAUGCAAGUCGAGCGAACGGACGAGAAGCUUGCUUCUCUGAUGUUAGCGGCGGACGGGUGAGUAACACGUGGAUAACCUACCUAUAAGACUGGGAUAACUUCGGGAAACCGGAGCUAAUACCGGAUAAUAUUUUGAACCGCAUGGUUCAAAAGUGAAAGACGGUCUUGCUGUCACUUAUAGAUGGAUCCGCGCUGCAUUAGCUAGUUGGUAAGGUAACGGCUUACCAAGGCAACGAUGCAUAGCCGACCUGAGAGGGUGAUCGGCCACACUGGAACUGAGACACGGUCCAGACUCCUACGGGAGGCAGCGGUAGGGAAUCUUCCGCAAUGGGCGAAAGCCUGACGGAGCAACGCCGCGUGAGUGAUGAAGGUCUUCGGAUCGUAAAACUCUGUUAUUAGGGAAGAACAUAUGUGUAAGUAACUGUGCACAUCUUGACGGUACCUAAUCGGAAAGCCACGGCUAACUACGUG
Molecule: ribosomal RNA, 497 nt
Filed under: uncultured bacterium
Lineage: Bacteria
Description: partial 16S ribosomal RNA
Rfam family: Bacterial small subunit ribosomal RNA
Source: RNAcentral